RNAcentral lists this unclassified non-coding RNA (149 nucleotides) under soil metagenome. RNAcentral's name for it is "partial internal transcribed spacer 1". The record is from RNAcentral.
CCGAGUUUACAACUCCCAAACCCCUGUGAACAUACCUAUACGUUGCCUCGGCGGAUCAGCCCGCGCCCCGUAAAAAGGGACGGCCCGCCGCAGGAACCCUAAACUCUGUUUUUAGUGGAACUUCUGAGUAUAAACAAACAAAUAAAUCA